AUUUGCUUUCUGCAUGAUUUUACUUGUUAGCUUUCCUCAUGGAAGUAUUGAUCCAAGCAUGGCAGGCCUUGCAGUGACAUAUGGCCUUAAUUUAAAUGCACGCCUAUCGCGGUGGAUUCUUAGCUUCUGUAAACUAGAAAACAAAAUUAUUUCCAUAGAAAGGAUUUAUCAGUACAGCCAAAUUCCAAGUGAAGCUCCAUCUGUUAUCGAGGGUUUCCGCCCUCCAUCCUCAUGGCCAGAGAAUGGGACAAUUGAUCUGAUUGAUUUGAAGGUUCGUUAUGCUGAGAAUCUUCCUACGGUGCUUCAUGGGAUAACAUGCACCUUUCCCGGUGGAAAGAAAAUUGGAAUAGUUGGGCGAACAGGAAGUGGUAAAUCUACAUUGAUCCAAGCACUAUUUCGAUUAAUUGAACCUGCUGAAGGGAGAAUCAUUAUAGACAACAUUGAUAUUUCUAUGAUUGGCCUACAUGAUCUUCGUAGCCGUCUGAGUAUCAUACCCCAGGAUCCAAC
Molecule: unclassified non-coding RNA, 507 nt
Filed under: Hevea brasiliensis (rubber tree)
Lineage: Eukaryota; Viridiplantae; Streptophyta; Magnoliopsida; Malpighiales; Euphorbiaceae
Source: RNAcentral